Long non-coding RNA from Lingula anatina, 864 nucleotides. Lineage: Eukaryota; Metazoa; Brachiopoda; Lingulata; Lingulida; Lingulidae. The record is from RefSeq and is a predicted model, not a curated record.
UUUUUUGAUGCUAAGUAUCAUCGCUGCUACUGCAACGUGUGUCAUAAUGACAGAGGAGAUAAACUGUAUUAUACUCGCGGAAAUCCACCAAAGGACUACGGUAUUCCAAUUGGAUGGUACAGGUAUGCCCUUUGCCUUCCACCUAAAGCAAAAGCUAUGAACGUAUUGGACAAAUGGCACAGGGCGUUCCAUGGCACUAAGAAAGAUGUGGUCACCAAGAUACUUGAAGUCGGGGAACUGCUCAUUCCAGGCGACGUAGCGUUGGGCGGCGACAAAAUAAGCGAGAGGGAAGGCCAUUUCAAAGACGACUAUAAACCUGAAGGGUUCGACACCAAGAAAAUAUUUGUAUCUCCUAGUAUCCGUUAUGCUGGCCAUGGCGCUUAUGCCAUGCCACACAAGUAUGUAUCCGUGUGUUGUAUCCGUGUGGUUUUUAUGAAAAGUAAGCAGUGUGUGUGUGUGUGUGUGUGUGUGUGUGUGUGUAAAUGUUUGUUUCAGAAGAACCCUGCUGUCAGUAUAGUAUUUUUCUAAUGAUAAGUAUAAUCAUUAUAUUGAUAAUAAAAAUCAUUGUUAUUAGUUUCAUUCUUAUAAAGCAGAAGUUGUCAGUUUAGUGAAGUGGUAAACAUCAACAUAGAUUUCUAAUGAUUUAUUAAAUUACAUCAAGUUUGACGCAAGAGAGCAGUAAUUGAGACAAAUAAAUUUUCAUCAUUCUGCAUUUUUUAGAAAAUCGAUGUAAAGCUACAUGACAACAUAAAAAUUUUGUUAUCCAUUAUCACAUCAUUCCAACACUGGCCUCCUCCAGAACUGAAUACCAUGACCUUUACUCGACGGUGACCUUUGGAGUAGAUGUUUGGUCGAUGACCGCGU